RNAcentral lists this transfer RNA (73 nucleotides) under Thermoplasmata archaeon. RNAcentral describes it as "tRNA-Thr". It matches the Rfam family "tRNA". From Rfam's summary of the family: Transfer RNA (tRNA) molecules are approximately 80 nucleotides in length. Their secondary structure includes four short double-helical elements and three loops (D, anti-codon, and T loops). Further hydrogen bonds mediate the characteristic L-shaped molecular structure. tRNAs have two regions of fundamental functional importance: the anti-codon, which is responsible for specific mRNA codon recognition, and the 3' end, to which the tRNAs corresponding amino acid is attached (by aminoacyl-tRNA synthetases). tRNAs cope with the degeneracy of the genetic code in two manners: having more than one tRNA (with a specific anti-codon) for a particular amino acid; and 'wobble' base-pairing, i.e. permitting non-standard base-pairing at the 3rd anti-codon position. RNAcentral also lists the same sequence under 2 other names. The record is from RNAcentral. Lineage: Archaea; Methanobacteriati; Thermoplasmatota; Thermoplasmata.
GCCGCCGUAGCUCAGUUGGUAGAGCGGCUGAUUUGUAAUCAGCAGGUCGGGAGUUCAAUCCUCUCCGGCGGCU